Danio rerio (zebrafish) is the source of this 94-nucleotide non-coding RNA. Lineage: Eukaryota; Metazoa; Chordata; Actinopteri; Cypriniformes; Danionidae. The record is from Rfam.
AAAAACACCCCUUUCACCACUGAAGCUAAGCAGGGCUGAGCCUGGUUAGUACCUGGAUGGGAGACCACUAGGGAACACCAGGUUGCUGUUGGAA